Molecule: transfer RNA, 63 nt
Filed under: Panthalis oerstedi
Lineage: Eukaryota; Metazoa; Annelida; Polychaeta; Phyllodocida; Acoetidae
Description: tRNA-Cys
Source: RNAcentral
GGCCUCAUAGUUGAAUAACAACAUUAAAUUGCAGAUUUAAAAGUGUACCCCGUACUAAGGCUU